RNAcentral lists this ribosomal RNA (245 nucleotides) under uncultured bacterium. RNAcentral's name for it is "partial 16S ribosomal RNA". It matches the Rfam family "Bacterial small subunit ribosomal RNA", at positions 524 to 776 of the family's 1533-position model. The record is from RNAcentral.
CACGGAUGGAACAAGUGUACUUGACACUGGGUGUAAAACGCGCGUAGACGGUUUAAUUUGUUUUUUAUAUAAAAGUCUUUUUUUAAAAGAAAAUAUAUUAAAUACAAUUAGACUAGAGCUUUUAUAAAACAACGGUAUUUUAAAUGUAAAGUGAAAAUUUCAAAUAUUUAAAAGACCAGCAAUUGGCGAAGGCGGUGUUAAGGGAUGUACUGACGUUGAGGCGCUAAAGCUUAGUAGCAAAUAGG